RNAcentral lists this ribosomal RNA (465 nucleotides) under Vreelandella stevensii. Its description in RNAcentral is "partial 16S ribosomal RNA". It matches the Rfam family "Bacterial small subunit ribosomal RNA", at positions 338 to 795 of the family's 1533-position model. The record is from RNAcentral. Lineage: Bacteria; Pseudomonadati; Pseudomonadota; Gammaproteobacteria; Oceanospirillales; Halomonadaceae.
CCUACGGGUGGCUGCAGUGGGGAAUAUUGGACAAUGGGGGCAACCCUGAUCCAGCCAUGCCGCGUGUGUGAAGAAGGCCCUCGGGUUGUAAAGCACUUUCAGUGAGGAAGAACGCCUGGUGGUUAAUACCCAUCAGGAAAGACAUCACUCACAGAAGAAGCACCGGCUAACUCCGUGCCAGCAGCCGCGGUAAUACGGAGGGUGCGAGCGUUAAUCGGAAUUACUGGGCGUAAAGCGCGCGUAGGUGGCUUGAUAAGCCGGUUGUGAAAGCCCCGGGCUCAACCUGGGAACGGCAUCCCGAACUGUCAAGCUAGAGUGCAGGAGAGGAAGGUAGAAUUCCCGGUGUAGCGGUGAAAUGCGUAGAGAUCGGGAGGAAUACCAGUGGCGAAGGCGGCCUUCUGGACUGACACUGACACUGAGGUGCGAAAGCGUGGGUAGCAAACAGGAUUAGAUACCCCAGUAGUC